AUGAACGCUGGCGGCGUGCUUAACACAUGCAAGUCGAACGGAAAGGCUCCUGCUUGCAGGGGUACUCGAGUGGCGAACGGGUGAGUAACACGUGGGUGAUCUGCCCUGCACUUCGGGAUAAGCCUGGGAAACUGGGUCUAAUACCGGAUAGGACGAUGGUUUGGAUGCCAUUGUGGAAAGUUUUUCGGUGUGGGAUGAGCUCGCGGCCUAUCAGCUUGUUGGUGGGGUAAUGGCCUACCAAGGCGUCGACGGGUAGCCGGCCUGAGAGGGUGUACGGCCACAUUGGGACUGAGAUACGGCCCAGACUCCUACGGGAGGCAGCAGUGGGGAAGAUUGCACAAUGGGCGCAAGCCUGAUGCAGCGACGCCGCGUGGGGGAUGACGGCCUUCGGGUUGUAAGCUCCUUUCGCUAGGGACGAAGCGUUUUGUGACGGUACCUGGAGAAGAAGCACCGGCUAACUACGUG
This 465-nucleotide ribosomal RNA is filed under the name uncultured bacterium. RNAcentral's name for it is "partial 16S ribosomal RNA". It matches the Rfam family "Bacterial small subunit ribosomal RNA", at positions 29 to 507 of the family's 1533-position model. The record is from RNAcentral.